Molecule: long non-coding RNA, 372 nt
Filed under: Gossypium raimondii (Peruvian cotton)
Lineage: Eukaryota; Viridiplantae; Streptophyta; Magnoliopsida; Malvales; Malvaceae
Description: long non-coding RNA (GRAI_LNC010648)
Source: RNAcentral
GUUGUUGAAAUGUGGGUAAAUUGGCUUCAGAUCGAUGGGGGUUUUUGGAUAAUUCUUUUUUUAAUAAGUUUUUGUCUGUCUUAAAUAUCUUGCCUCUUUUUUUUUAAUUUUUUAAUUGAACUUUUUUGUUUCGAUUUCACAUUAAGAAAAACUAUGGGUUUGCUACUACUUAUUGGAUCAAUGUUGCUGAUAGUAUUUUUUUAGAUAUAAAUUUGGUUAAAGAGUAUAAGGAUUGCUUUAGUUUUAUGGAAUAGAAGCAUGAAACUGCGAGAUUUAGUUUCAUUCAUGUUUUUAUUUUUUUCAUUGGAUUUGAGCAUUUUUUAUUUUUUAUGUUUAUUAAGCCUAUAUGAUGAUAAAUUUGUAACUUUAAUU